Hevea brasiliensis (rubber tree) is the source of this 2383-nucleotide long non-coding RNA. RefSeq lists it as uncharacterized. The record is from RefSeq and is a predicted model, not a curated record. The transcript is spliced from 4 exons. NCBI's taxonomy places the organism in Eukaryota, Viridiplantae, Streptophyta, Magnoliopsida, Malpighiales, Euphorbiaceae.
UUCUUCUUCUUCUUCUUCUUCUCUCCUCCCAACACAUCUGGAUUAUUUUUUUUCUUUUUAAAGCCGUUCAUAUUGGUAUUCAGUAGUUGAGAGUUGAGCUUGAGCGUAUUCACUGUUAGAUUUGUUCAGAUUCAGAUAAAGACAGGACAUUUGGUACGUUUCACCGACACCUGUACGUCUUGCAUGACAGAGAGAGAAGGUCAUGGAAGAGCAGAGAGAGAGAGAGAGAGAGAGAGAGAGGGUUCUUGACUUUCUGGUGGCUACAGUCUUUCUUGGUCCCAUUAAAACCCUAAAUCGUCAUUAAAGCCUUUCAGUCUUACAGGAUAAGGAGUGUGAACCGUAGAUUUAUGGUAACUUUCCUUAAAUGGGUCUCACUGUAUUCUCAGAUCUGACUUCCAUUCUUUUGUACAUUUUAUGCUUCUUUUUCCUUUCUUCUCUAUUUUUCCAUUUCUGGGUAGCUUGUCUUUAUAUUAUUUACUUUGCUACCGAUGAUCUCCUCUCAUCUUUACUUUGAUACCUAUCUCCUUUCAUCAACUUCUGGGACAUAGAAAUUGACAGAAGAGAGUGAGCACACAGAGGCAUUUGUAUAAAUCUAUACCUUUGCUUUUGUGUGCUCACUUCUCUUUCUGUCAGCUUCCAGCGCCGGAAUUUGAUCUCUCUCAGGUCAUUUAAAUUCCUGGCCUGUUUUUGUUCCAGAUUGAUACCUCUCUUGUUUUCUUUUUCGUCAUCGGUUUUCAAAGAGCUUUUUCGCUUCCAAGAGGACGAAGAUGGGAUAUGAAGGUUGAGCAAACAGAGAAAAAAUGGUGCCAACUAUUAAUUAUUACCAAAAAGGGAAUAUGUAUUUGCCUUUCUUUGAAUUUAUUUAAGUUUAUGCAUUAAAUUAUAUAUUUAAUAGCUUCAAAAGCGUGGCUUUUGAUGGUGUUUGCUUAAGAGGUAGUCGAGAUUACUGUGCAGAUUUAGCGGCAAAACAAUGAAUAUAGCAUGGGGAAGGGAGAUGAUUCACGUUAUCUAAGUUUAUAGCAUGGUCCUCACUUGCAAAACCUUCUCUCCAUUUUUUUGGCUUCUUACUCUUAUCGUUAUCAUCUCUGCAUAAUAUGCAUUCUAUUUUUUUUUAUUCCUGCGCAUGGUUUUAUGUACCAAGUUCGAGAUUUGCUUCUGAUUGGACUUUGUAUUCACCUGAAUCUACUACUACCUUCAAAACUUUCAAUAGAAAAAUGGGUUUUCCUUUUUAUGGUUCAAAAAACCCUAUCUUAAUUACCUGGAAUAGGGUUGCUUGUGUUGCUAUUGCACAAGGGAUAUCUUGUGGCUCCUUUUUGCUAUGAUUUUCGACAUUAUCUGGUCACUUUCACAGUAACUCAAGUGGGUUCUGAAAAGAUUUUACUUCUUUUUCCAGAUUUUCUGUAUUGGUUGUUUCAAAGGAGUUGUUUCUUUUAGUGUAUAUGUGUGUGGAUGAUUGAUCCGAUGUGAUGUUUUUGGGUGCAUAUGAGGGGGUGAAGGACUCUUUAGAUUAGGUACAAUAAUGAUGCUUCUUUCCUCAUAUGGGAAGUUUUCUGCAACUUUUUCGUAUGUUCUGAGUUUUUGCUGAUAGCUAGGUACUCGAUUAAGAAAAGUCAACCUAUUUGUCAUGGGCGAAAGGUUCCCUAGAAGAAAUCUAAUCCAACAGAUGUUAAAUAUAUGAGCUGGAUGCUCAAAUGGUUUAGAAAGCAAAUGUUUCCGUCCAUGGAGUUUACAAUAACACAUUCUUUGCAAGGGACAAGAAGCGAUCAUUCACUGCUUGGACCUCAGCUUCAAAGAUCUUACACAGGGCAAGUCAGGGAAAAGAUGAGAACGUAGGAAUAAUUUCUGGUAAUUCAGUACAUGAAGAAGAAAUUAAGAAUCCAAACUUGCAACCUACUUCUACAUUAAAAUAAUGGCAGAUAACCAGCCCGGCAGGUGCCCGGCAGAAACAGAAGGGCGCUCAGUAGAUUACACAAAGGUUGGCCGAACUAAGGUAUUUUCUUGGGGCCAAUUUUAGCUAAUACUAUGACAAAAAAUAUGCUAAUAACCUUGUUCUAUCCCAAUCUGCACUUCUUUAGUUGGUCAACAUCUUCAGUCACGUCAUGCCUUGAUAAUGCUGCAAGCACCUCACACACUUUUUGAAAGGACACCAGCAGCAAACAGAAGAUUCCUCCGAGAAAACUGAUACCAGAGUAACAUGCAAACAUUAUAUACCACCAGACAACAUAUUAAAGGACUGGGAAGGAUAUCAAGUAAAAGAAUUUGAGUGUUUGGGAAAUUACCCUUAAUGUAUACACUGGUGUCGAUUUUGUUGGCAGAGUUUUCAAUGACCUCAAUCUGUUUGCGCUUCCACUUUUGCUGAUUGAAUGAAAUAUAUUUCAGUAAA